RNAcentral lists this transfer RNA (58 nucleotides) under Zootermopsis nevadensis. It matches the Rfam family "tRNA", at positions 8 to 63 of the family's 71-position model. Rfam says of the family: Transfer RNA (tRNA) molecules are approximately 80 nucleotides in length. The record is from Rfam by way of RNAcentral. Lineage: Eukaryota; Metazoa; Arthropoda; Insecta; Blattodea; Termopsidae.
UGGUCUAGCGGUCAGGACGCUAGCCUUGUAAUCCUGGGGUCCCGGGUUCAAUUCCCGG